This 1188-nucleotide long non-coding RNA is filed under the name Homo sapiens (human). RNAcentral's name for it is "HSALNT0065963". Lineage: Eukaryota; Metazoa; Chordata; Mammalia; Primates; Hominidae. The record is from RNAcentral.
UGGGAUUCUUCUUAAAAGGAGUCAAGAAAUGAAAUAAACAGCAAGGGAUAACAGAAGUGUAGGAUUGAUUGUGAGCUUCUCCCCCCAAACUCAGAAAAACUGCCAGGCCUAUGGUAACAUCUCCGUUUUCAGAAGCUCAGAAAAGUAAGCUGCUUGCUCAAGAAUGGACGGCUUCAAGGUGGCAGAGCUGGAAGUUUCUAACUCACUCACCUCAUACUCAGACCUGCACUGUUUUUCAAGACAGUCAAUAUUUCAGGCCAUCUACUGAUUGGAUGAGGCCCACCAGCAUUCUGAAAGACAAGGAAUCUGAGACCUGGCUGGGAGAAGAGGACUUGCCUAAAGUUAUCCCACACAGCAAAUUAGUUGGAAAACCAGGAUAGUUGAGUAAAUAUCCUGGAGCCCAGCCAAGUAAUGAAGCCAGAAUUCAGAAAGCUGUUUUGGCUAGAUCUUGGAUUUUUACAAUAAAGGGUCUGUAAGGGAUAUUUGUGAAAAAUGUUGACACUUGACGGCUGUCCUGAUUCAUUCAGCUACCUAGGUUAUCUCUGCCUCUCUUUGACUUGUGUUUUGUCUUUUAAGAUGGCAGUCUUGCUCUUUUGCCUGGGCUGGUCUUGAACUCCUGGGCUCAAGCAGUUUUCCUGCUUUAGCCUCCUGAGUAGCUGGGGCUACAGGAGGACAUCACUGUGCCCAGCUCUCUCCGUAUCUUUGACUAGGUUAUUUUACAACCCCAUACGAUAGAAAUGAAGUUAUAGAAAACUGAUAGGAAUACAAAUAAUUAUUAUCCAUGGAAAUGCAAAUUGGAUCUAAUGGAAUGAAACUGAUUUUUUUUCCAGCAGAUAGUGACCACCUUUGUAUCCUUUUGUAAAUUCAUUUCAGCAUUCCAUAUUUGACUAAAAAUGUGUGACACUCCCAAUUUGCUUUUGAAUUCAUUGUAAUAUCUACCAAUUCCCUCAUUAAUUAAUGAGUUAAAUAAAGCCUUUGGCAUGUAUUUAUUUUGUAUCUAUAGGAGAGUCAUGAGUAUAUCUUCUUUUAAAAGGUAUUCUUCAGUAGGUCUUAGGGUGCACAAUACUUACAUCUUAUUUUCUCAUUCUACACUGUUCCCACACCUCACCCAGAAUAAAUGUAAUCUCCUGUGAGCUUCUGAACAUCAUGAAGAAUAACAGCUCAUUUUGUAAAGUCAUUUAGUAUUCG